UCUCCAUAACACUCAUCAGAAAGCUCCUCCACUCGCCGAGCAGCUACUUUCUCCUCGAUGCUGAGCAGGUUUCCACAGAGACCGGCCGAUGGAUCAGCUGCUUCCAUUUCAACAUCACAGAUCGUGGUUGAGGGGGAGGCUGGAGUUCAGAGCCUACGGAGGCCACAGCACCGUGGACCUGCUGACUUCUGAUGCAGCUGCUGCAGCAAUUUGGGAUAAACAGAGUGUGGGCUGAGGAUGGAGCGUCAAAUGUGGCGGAAGAGCGAAGAGGAGCAGCUCGGUGAUCCCGCUGCUCAGUGGCCUGUUACAGAGAUGCAGCUGCUCCAUGUGCUGCAGGGAGGCAGGCAGCAGGCGGCAUCAGAUCUCUGCCUCGCAUGCAAACAACCCUCGUGCUCCUCUACACAGUCACUCCUCAGCCGGGCGGGGGCAGUUUGAGGCCUGAUGUCGAACCUUCAGGUCUCUGACACGCAGGCCCGUAACCACCUCUGGCAGCUCAGCGUGCAGACACAGAUGGGUCCUCGUGCUGUGGCUGAAUCCAACUCAUACCACAUCUAAUGGGGAAAAUCCUCCAAUAGAGCCUCAUACUGUAUCUAUAUUAUGGUAUUCCAAUGUUUACAUUCAACCCCUCCCUUACAUGUUUUACGGUAUAUUCUUAAAUUAGGUAAUUUAUAUUUACAACACUAAACUAUAUCACUGUUUUCGUGAAUCCCACAUGUACAUAUUGUUUUUUUAGAUGUUUCAUGAAGCCCAGUUUAGUUCAUUGUUCACUAAAAAAAACGACAAAUGUAUCUGUGCACGUUUACACACUUAUUCUGAGUUCUGACAUUCAAGCUAAACGUGGACCCGCUCGACAUAAGAUGAAGAACCUAAGACAGACUUUGUCCUUUGGUUGAAAAUCUGUGAAUCGUGUUCAUUUUUCCAUCAACCUGUGAACACAUCACUACAGUGCUUUUCUCUCUCUCUCUCUCUCUCUCUCUCUCUCUCUCUCUCUCUCUCUCACUCUCUCUCUCUCUCUCUAACAUCUGGAAAAAAUUAUACGAGACGUGAAUAAGGUAACAAUCAAGCCUUUUCAUGUUGAUUUUCAUUCUAUGCA
Molecule: long non-coding RNA, 1093 nt
Organism: Platichthys flesus (European flounder)
Lineage: Eukaryota; Metazoa; Chordata; Actinopteri; Pleuronectiformes; Pleuronectidae
Exons: 3
Source: RefSeq, a predicted model, not a curated record